UCUCGGAAUUCGAUUAGAGUUUGAUCAUGGCUCAGAAUGAACGUUGGCGGCGUGGAUUAGGCAUGCAAGUCGAACGGGUCCGGUCUUCGGACCGGGUCAGUGGCGUAAGGGUGAGUAAGGCGACGGUAACCAACCCCGAGAUUGGGUAUAGCCGUGGGAAACCGCGGGUAAUCCCCAGCGACGCGUCGGGCCGGCAUCGGCCUGACGUCAAAGUUUCGGCGUCUUGGGACGGGCUGUCGUGGUAUUAGGUAGUUGGCGGGGUAACGGCCCACCAAGCCUUCGAUGCCUACCGGGCGUGCGAGCGUGGCCCGGCACACUGGGACUGAGACACUGCCCAGACACCUACGGGUGGCUGCAGUCGAGAAUCUUCGGCAAUGGGCGCAAGCCUGACCGAGCGACGCCGCGUGGAGGAUGAAGGCCUUCGGGUUGUAAACUCCUGUCGAGGGGGAGGAAGGGGAAACCUUGACCUAUCCCUGGAGGAAGCACGGGCUAAGUUCGUGCCAGCAGCCGCGGUAAGACGAACCGUGCGAACGUUAUUCGGAAUCAUUGGGCUUAAAGCGCGUGUAGGCGGAUGGGAACGUCGAUGUUGAAAGCCCCCGGCUCAACCGGGGAACUGGCGUCGAAACGACCCGUCUGGAGGGGCCAUAGGGGGAGCUGGACUUCCGGUGGAGCCGUUGAAUGCGUUGAGAUCGGAAGGACGCCCGGUGGCGAAGCGAACUCCUUGAAUG
Molecule: ribosomal RNA, 728 nt
Filed under: uncultured Planctomycetales bacterium
Lineage: Bacteria; Pseudomonadati; Planctomycetota; Planctomycetia; Planctomycetales
Description: bacterial SSU rRNA
Rfam family: Bacterial small subunit ribosomal RNA
Source: RNAcentral